RNAcentral lists this transfer RNA (73 nucleotides) under Zoogloea oleivorans. Its description in RNAcentral is "tRNA-Met". Lineage: Bacteria; Pseudomonadati; Pseudomonadota; Betaproteobacteria; Rhodocyclales; Zoogloeaceae. The record is from RNAcentral.
AUGCCUUUAAAACCCGUAUUUUUGCCGACUCAUAAUCGCUUGGUCGCUGGUUCAAGUCCAGCACGGCCCACCA